UGGCAAUACAAUGACAAAGGUUGUCGUCCCGGGCCAUUAAUUUCGACUGUCAAAAGAUGCGACAGUAAUCAAAGUAACUGCUUUGCAGUGAAAUAUUUUUCAUUCCUCAGCAAAACGGGCACUUUCUUUUUCAUUCUGCAACAAGCAAGACCAUGUGAUAAGCUGAUAUUUUGAAGUUGCGUUCAGCGAAUGAGCAAAACAAGCUCAUGCAGUAGUCGUUACAGUACGUUACUGUGGAUUUAUCCAAAUUUCUUUCCAAAUACUUUUGAACUUUAAGAAACUGAAACCCUCACAAAUAAAGUCACAAAUCAAGAAUUAACAUUGAUUGUGAUGGUGGCAAGGGUGCCUUCAUAAGGUGCCAUCCAGCAAGUCCCAGCCUGGAGCCAGAGGCUGGCACUGCACGUCAGAUGGGGGAGGAUCUAUGUUAGGCAUCAGAAAGGUGGUUUAAGCAAGAAGGAAAGAGCUUCUGCAGACAGUGUUGCAAUUAGACACCUGACUUUUACUGAGUCCCUUUUCUGGUUUGUUUUGGAUGAACUAGAGUGGUGGGCACAGAAAUUUUGUCGAUGGGUCAAACAUUCACACUCACACAACCACACUUGUGGAUUUGUCAAGCAAAAAAUCAUCUUUGUAUAUAAUCUGUUGCACAUUGAAUAUGCUUAAUAAAUGUU
Molecule: long non-coding RNA, 668 nt
Organism: Alosa sapidissima (American shad)
Lineage: Eukaryota; Metazoa; Chordata; Actinopteri; Clupeiformes; Clupeidae
Exons: 4
Source: RefSeq, a predicted model, not a curated record